RNAcentral lists this ribosomal RNA (253 nucleotides) under uncultured bacterium. RNAcentral's name for it is "partial 16S ribosomal RNA". It matches the Rfam family "Bacterial small subunit ribosomal RNA", at positions 524 to 776 of the family's 1533-position model. The record is from RNAcentral.
UACGUAGGCAGCGAGCGUUGUUCGGAGUUACUGGGCGUAAAGGGUGUGUAGGCGGUUGUUUAAGUUUGGUGUGAAAUCUCCCGGCUCAACUGGGAGGGUGCGCCGAAUACUGAAUGACUAGAGUGCGGGAGAGGAAAGUGGAAUUCCUGGUGUAGCGGUGAAAUGCGUAGAUAUCGGAAGGAACACCAGUGGCGAAAGCGGCUUCCUGGUCCAGCACCGACGUUCAGGCACGAAAGCGUGGGGAGCAAACAGG